CUCAAUGAUAAUCUCAUCUCAUACCAUCUAAACGAAUAUCACAAUUUGGGCAUAACCCUUACAUCAAUUCAACAAGACCAUGUAUAGGUCGUAAAAAAGAACAAUAUUCAAAUAACAAGAAAAGGAAUGAUAGAGUCAAUAAGCUCAUAACAAAAUCCAAAGCUACAUUAUGGCACUGUCCUCGAGAGUUGAGGACCUACCCUCCUUGGAUGAAAGCAAGAAUCCAAGCCUUCAACAAUGACGCCUCCCAAAAAUCUUCAACAAUCUGAACCUAAACUGUUUUGGAAAAAAGGAAAGAAAAAAAUGAGGUUAGUACUCUACAUGUACUAAGUAUGAGAUCUUAUGCCCAUAUACAAGCAAAAUACGCAAAAAGGGAGCUUUUAGUUAAAUCAUUUUAAUUUACUCCUUUAAGAACUUAUACACAACCAAUAGUUAAGGAAGUCAAAUGUAUAUCAACACGCUUGAACCCAUAAUAUCGUAUACUCUAUCACAAAGUAAUAUCAUCACAUACAUGAAUAAGAGUAAUCACAUAAGCAAAGUAAGGUAGCAAAUCAUAAAUUCCCAUAGAGUCAACAAGUGCAAUGACCAAGUAAAGCCCCAUAACCCUACUUAAUCAAGUCUCCCAACAAGAACUAUAAUUAGUAUCAUACUUCACACAAUAUAAUCUCUUAAAUUCAUAAAUUCAUCUUUUAAUUAAUUAAAACCAUUAUGACCAUUUGCAUGUUCAUAAACAUCAUAAUCAUCAUAUAAAAACAAUUACAUUUAAUACCAUCCGUAUACAUAAUAUUAACUUUCCAAAGCUCCCAUCAAGAAAAUAGUGCAAGGCAUAGGUAGAGUCUCAUACCCCUACCUAGGCUAAGUCAAAACCCUCAAGUCACUUUAGUUAGUCUAUACUUCAUUCAUUCAUUUUAUUUUAGGGAACACUUGCUUUAACCGACAUAGACCACAUGAGUAAAAUGUGGAAUCCGGUGUCAUAAGAUAUUACACCGAUGGAAGGUGGUCUAGCGUCCAAGGUAAAAUCUAAUAUAAACAUAGUUUUCUAGGUGGAUCCACUAGCUAGUAUCAUAUGUUGGCAACAUAGUUUAAGGAACGAAGAGAUAGGUAUUCCCUGUACAUACCAUUUAGUAAUUGGGGCCUCACCUCAUGGGAAUCAUUGGAUGAGUAUCCUUCAAAGGGGAGUCAACAUCACUUAUAGACCUACAAGAUAACACUUCCUCUAUGGAAAGCCAUCACCUCCCAUUGUCAAGUUCACUCGGUGCUAAGUUAAGUCCAUUUAAUGGAAUGUCUUUAAGCCUUUAUUAUCAAUCAUUAUUUAAUUUAGGCCAUAACUUCUACUCCUUAUAUAAUCACCAUCAUCAAUAGCUUAAUAAAAAUUGUAUGAGUAUAAGUCUUUUCAUUACAAUUCAUAUAAGGGAGGUUAACACUUUAGUAUUUUAUAACAUAUUUAGGCACAUUGAUAGUUUUCACCAUCCUUAUUGCACAUACACCUUAAUCAACCUCACAACAUAGUCAAGACAUUUCGGUUCAACAUCAUACCACCCUAUAAUCCUGGUAUAAAGCAUACUCCAAAUGUAAUAUCAUGACUUAGCAACAAUUAAUCAUAAUUGGAAGUAAAGAUAGAGAUUCUAAGACUUACCAAGUCUUCCUCAUAGUCUAUCAUCAAGGUCUUACCAUCAACCCAUAACUUCACCCAACUUGGAAAGUAACAUCAUCACACAAUGGUAACCAAAAUAACAAGGUCAAUUGCAUCUCUAUAACACAAUUCAUCUUUAGAUCACAACUUGAGACAAGGUACAUAGGCUAAUUUUGCAUUAUAAUUCAUAACAUAAAUCACAUCUCAAGAACUAGCAUGAUAGGUCUAUAAUUCAUCUUAAUUUAAUCAUAAUAGCACCAUAGGAUAGUAAUCAAAUCAACAACCAACUCAAUUGAAUGACCACAAUACAAUAUAGGUCAAGAUCACUACCGAUGGUUAAGGAUAGAGGAUCAUAUUCUUCAAUUUAGACCAAACCAUCAACAACUACCACAAACAAGUUGAAUUACAUGUUAAUCUACUCAAUAUAACCCUAAAAAUUCAUUAACAACUCAAUCCAUAACUUUAAUUUCGUAAUUGAAUGAAACCCAUAAGGAAAUUCAACUUUUUGAAAUCUAUUUUGAAGGAACCCUUUGAGGAAAGGAUCUCAAAGGUGAAUAGAACACAUACCUUAAUGUUUCUCAACAAUUUGAUGAAUAAUCUACCCUUUUUCCGACCCCCAAUUCACCUUCCAAGCUAAGCUUCUAUGGAGUCUUCCAAUUAGAAGAGAGAAAGAAGAGAGAAGAAAGAGGGUUUAUU
RNAcentral lists this long non-coding RNA (2329 nucleotides) under Solanum lycopersicum (tomato). RNAcentral's name for it is "long non-coding RNA (SLYC_LNC000687)". Lineage: Eukaryota; Viridiplantae; Streptophyta; Magnoliopsida; Solanales; Solanaceae. The record is from RNAcentral.